This is an RNA transcript of Chrysemys picta bellii (western painted turtle), 2165 nucleotides long. It is a transcript of the gene named AKT interacting protein, with no coding region annotated. The record is from RefSeq and is a predicted model, not a curated record. Lineage: Eukaryota; Metazoa; Chordata; Testudines; Emydidae.
CUGUGAUUGGCUGACUCUGCGGCCAAUGCGUGUCAGAGGCCGGCCGGAUAUUGCUGCUAGGGGCGGGUUUUAGAGCUGCGGACGGGGUGAGAGAGGACGGAGGUGCUGGCGGGGACUCGGCCGCGCUCGCAGUGGAGUGUCCGGGGAACUAGUGUGGGCUACAAAGUGACAUCGAAGUGCUGGAGAGGGUCUGGAGACAUUUGCAGCCCUUUACUUGGGAUACACGUUAUGAACCCUUUCUGGAGCAUGUCUACAAGUUCCUCACGCAAGAGACCUGAAACUGAAGAAAAGACUCUGACUGGAGAGUUGAGAACCAGUCCUCCACGAACCUCUACAAAGAAACAGCUGCCUUCUAUUCCAAAAAAUGCUGUGCCGAUGACCAAGCCUGCUUCUCCUGCCCCUUCAUCCCAGUCUACGAAUGGAACACAUGCCUCCUAUGGGCCUUUCUACUUGGAAUACUCUCUCCUUGCAGAAUUCACUUUGGUCGUAAAGCAGAAGCUGCCAGGAGUUUAUGUGCAGCCAUCUUACAGAUCAGCAUUAAUGUGGUUUGGAGUAAUAUUCAUAAGACAUGGCCUCUACCAGGAUGGUGUGUUCAAAUUUACAGUCUACAUCCCUGACAAUUACCCAGAUGGCGACUGCCCCCGAUUGGUGUUUGAUCUACCAGUCUUCCACCCACUAGUAGAUCCUCUCUCAGGUGAAUUAGAUGUGAAAAGAGCAUUUGCAAAAUGGAGGCGAAACCAUAAUCACAUAUGGCAAGUACUAAUGUAUGCUCGCAGAGUCUUCUACAAGAUUGAUACGACCAGUCCUUUGAAUCCGGAAGCUGCAGUGCUAUAUGAAAAAGACAUUCAGCUGUUCAAAAGUAAGGUGGUAGACAGUAUCAAACUAUGCAGCAGUCACUUAUUUGAUCAGCCUAAAAUAGAAGAUCCCUAUGCAAUUAGCUUUUCUCCAUGGAAUCCAGCUAUACAUGAUGAAGCUAGAGAGAAGAUGUUGACUCAGAAAGAACUCUGCUGGGAGGAGGAAAAUGAUUUACUAAAACUACUUGGAUGCUGCGGCUAUUCCCCUGGGGAAAUGUCAGCUCAACAGCAGAGCCAAGAACAUUUCUAGAACACUAGAAAUAACUUCCUUAAACAAUUUGGUCAAUACCAGGGUUGCUUCAUGUUUUACAAAAUAUAAAGCACAAGCCAUGGUAUUUCCUGGUCACUAGGGAUGCUGCUGUCACUCCCUAUACCAUGCACUUGCAAAGAAGAAGCCAGAAGAUCAACACUGCAAAAGCAUGCAGGUGUCUGGGCUGUCCUGGGUAAAGCCUGGUUCAGUGCAGCCUUUCAGUAAAGAAGAGAAGACCAUGCCUACCUAAUUCUUCUGGACCAUGAUGCACAAAACACUUUCUGUAGGUGGAGGGAAUGUAACGGAGAGAGAAACGGCAAACUAGCAGUUUCCUUCUUGACAAUGGAUUAGUAAAAACUGAACGAUAGCAGUGACUCAAGUAAACCUGCUCAAUGGAUUUUUGUGGACUCUUCUCAGUGUUUUACAUAUGCAUUAAGUUUUAACAGCAGCCUGGAGGAUGGAAGUAUCUCUAAACAUUGCAGUAAUUCUAUUAAUGAAGACUGCCUAGGAUGGUAACUCCCAGGGCUCCAAAAUGCCUGGAGGGUUUGUCUAAGCUUUUAUUUUCCUUUCAGGAAUAGCAAUUUUGAAUCUUAAACUGGCAGAAGUAUUAGCAGGAAAAACUGAUGCCAGAGGUAAGCUGUGUUCCUAUAAACUAAUAUAGCAGAGUUAAACACUAUAUAUUUAAUGAUUUUUAAAUACAUUGGUUUCUAUUGUAAAUACAUUAGGAUUUUAAAUUGUAAAUAGCGGGUUCAGUGACUCCAACUAGCACUUUCAAGAAAGGCAGAGCUGAGAUUGGCACUCGGCAUAUGAUAUAUUACUGACUUGCAAAUGGAUGUUGUCACUAAAGCACACAUUAGUCUGACAAGAUGAGAGCAGAGUGUUAGGUUUACUAGGCUUUUAUUACAUAAACACUAAAAAUCAGCUUUUAUUGGUGGUUUUGAUCUAAUAAAAUCUUAGAGGAUGUUAGACUUCCUAUGUGUUAAGACUGCAGGGAUUACUAGGCUAGUUUGGCUAAUGUGUGUUAAUAGUGACAUCUUAAAAAAUAAAAAAAAUCAUGUUAA